GGUUUACUUGAAAAAAAAAAAACAGAUCCUACCUGUUUAUUGCAGAUUCUUUAUUGAUUAUAUCUGCUGGUUGUUUUUCCAGUUUGCAUAAAUGCUGCUUUUCUAAGUGUUGGUCUGCACGUGAGGGCAAUGGGUGGAUUUUUGUGCAUAUUUUCCUGUUCAGUAAAGUUAACACUUAGUCAGUAAAUUCAUUCUGAAAACCUUGUUUUCAACUUGGGAUAGUGGUUGGGUGUUAAUGAAUAGUCAGCCUUUUCCUGUCCAUUUCUACUUGAUGCGUGACCCUAUGUAGAAUGGGACUUUUCUUAAUAUAGCAGUCAUUACUAUGAUAAAAUACUUUGAUUUGGGAAAAAAUAAUAAUUCCUGAGUGAUCUGUGAACUUAAAACACAUUGAAUUCCUAUUAGAAAUGUUACUCUACGAAUUACAAUUUUAUUUGAGGUUAUUACUACAUUUACUGUGAUCUUCUGCUUGACCUUAAGUCACAGCCUGGGCUCAUGGUUUGAUUUUUACCAUUUUGCACCUACAGGUUACUCCUAGCUGGUGAGCUACAAUUUAGAUCAGUAGUUCAGAAGAGGAUGAAAAAUACUAUUUCUAGUAUCUAUGGCUGAUAAGUGAGGAAUGAAAUAAUGAAUUGUCCUGGCCGUGCUCUGAAGUCUGUGGCAAAGCUAAAAUUUGAAAUUGUGUGUUCUGACUCAGCUAUCAGAUACAACUCCUUGCCUGGGUGUUUAGAUGUACAAAACCAUUUUUUAUUUACUGAGUAGUUUGAAUGUCACCUAACAAAGCAAGUUCUCUUCUUGUUUUGACAUGAACAACUGAGAUUUCCUCUUUUGCCCACAGACUUCAUUAACUAUGUAGCUUUUUUAAUCACCAGGCACUCACCCAAAAUAGCCUACACAUUGUUCGAGUGUCCUUACUGGUAGGAAGCAUGACCUUCUCUCUGAUACUGGGCCACCAAAAAAGAAUGUAGUAAAUUUUAAUGUGAUUGUAACUUAGCCAGCAUUUACAUAAAAGAAAACAAUGAUCUUCUUGUUAUGGAGAUCAUUAAUGAAACAUCAGCAGUGGUCUGCAAAUGCUACCACGUUGUGAUCCAGCUGAAAAAACAGCCUUGUGUAACUUGAGUACAUUGCAUAACACAGGAAGUGGAAAAACAAACUAAAUUUUCAAGGGCUGUUUGCAUUUUAACUAGAGCUGAAUGAAAAGUCUACAGUGAAUAACUUUUUGAGUAAUUUAACUAUUGUAUCCUCUGAAGGUAUAUCUAUGAGGCUGAAUAAAUUCUUCCUCGCCUGUUCAAUGCUGCUAUUUGUGGUGGCAUUUUUCAGUGUGUUAAUCUAACAUAUGAAAUUCAAAUAGCAUAGAAUUUCAGAUACAUCACACAUCACAUGGCACUGUUUCUGUUUCCUGUUGGGUAAGGGUCUGAGUGCUCUGCAGCCAGGAUUUGUAAGUAAUUCAAAAUUCAUCUUCCUUGCUUAGUCAGGCAUGUAACUUUGAAAUUUACCAAUUAGCCUCCUGAAAGAUAAAUGCAGUAAAUCAUGUGCUGUGAUAGGUGAACUUGUGUUCAAAUAAUUCAUGGAAGCAUAAUAAUUUAUAGAACUUUCUUGACAUUAUUUAUCUAAGUAUAGUUCAAUACGUUUUGAUGCAUGUAUCCUCCAGACAAACAUUUCUCUCAGAUUAUAUUCUUCAGUUGCAUCUCACUGUAGAAAGGCGAAGUUGGAGAACUCAGCAAAAUUUCAGGAGGUGACAGUCAAUCAAGAAAGUCUUCAACUAUUUCUUACAAGGUCUGCCAUUUUCAAAAAUGAAAAUUUCCCAUGAGGAUCAAGUAUGGAAAUAAUCUGAAUCUAGUUUUUGACAUCAAAAAAUGUUUGUUAACAGCAUUAAAAGACUUUCCCUGGUAUUCAAACUUCCCAGAUCAGAGGUUUCUUUAGGAUGAGUGGAAGCCUCUCUCUUUAGGAUGAGGAAGUACAGCCCAUGGAAGUUUUUUGCUACAGAGUUUUUCAAGGAAAUUGCAUCCAGGCAAAAAGGGUAGAAACCAAAUGUAAAGAUGGAAAAAUCAGGAAAAUUAACUCCAAAAUGAAACUGUCAGCUUUUGUUAGGUGUUUAAUGUGUUAAUUAAUGUUAAUUUAUUUUUUUAUUUUAAUUAGUUUAUUUUAUUUAUGUUAAUUUAGUUUAAUUAAUUAAUUUAACGUGUUAAUUGAAUAUGUCUUUUUAUGUGUUAUGUGUUUUGUUAUGUGUAUAAACAAACAUAUGCACAGAGUUCAAGAGAAGUAUAUUGACUUCUCGUUAGCUGAAGAUCUGUUUCUCUGACCCAGCUGAAGGGACACAGAUAUUACUGACCAAAAAAGGGUUGUUCAGCAAUGACUAAUAAAUUGAGAUUGACUCACUUGUGAAUUAAUAAUAGAUAGAACAGCCACACUGUAAAUUGCAUUUUGUCUUUUAUUAGUAGGAGAGGAGAGUAGGAAAGGGUGCUGUGCUGGCUUAUUUUUGUAAAUAGCAUGAAGCUGUGAACUUUUAAAUUUCUUCUAUGUACUGAACUCAACAGAAUUGCAAGGCAUACUCUCAUUAUAGUUUCCUUUGUUAUUAUUAAAAUUAAUAGCCAUCUGGUGAGCAUCAGCUUCAAUAUAAAAAAUGAUGUUCUUUAGUUUGGUCAGCCUUCAGUGGAUAAGUGAGAGGCACGAAGGAUCUGCAUUUUCUCAGGCAUUACUUGGCAUUGGAUAUUUUCUGCCACCGGGAUCUAAGGGUAAUGGAUGAGAAAGCACUUCACAAUGGAUAUAAUUACCAUAUUCCAUGGGGCUGAAGUAACAUUCACAGCCCACAUUAUCUGUUCAAACUCUGUAAUACUAAAUAUGCAUUAAGUAUUGUGGUUUAUUUGAUCAACAGAACUCUCCCACCUCCCCUGUCCCUGCUCCCCAAGCCACAGAUGGAGCAGUGGCUUUUCAAUUGAGUGAGGACACCACAGGAUUUAUGGCUGCCUGGGGAUUAUUCUUUGGAUUUGGGGUUAACUUAAAAUUGGGCAAUGUUUUUAUAAUUAUUUUUUUCCUUUAUUUUAUUUUCCCCAUGUGAAAAAAAUCUGGUUUUGAUAUAUAUUAUUACCCAUGUAUUUAAAAUAAGUGACAAUAUGCAAACUGUGUUUCAAAUGGUGCAAGACUGGCCAAUUUCCAAGCUGGGUUAGAUUUAUAGGAUAACAAUAUAUUGUAUUGUUUUGUGCCAAAUUCUUGGACUGAUGUGACACUUAGUUACUUUUAACACACACAUACAGACCCCUACCUAUAUUUCUAUCUAUAAAAUUUUAUGAAAUACAGCAAGUAGCUGAAAGAUGCAUGUUUUUUAAAGAACUGAUUGUUUAAGGGAAAAUAUUCUAACUGUGUGCCUUCUACUGCCUUAUUUGUUCUUUGUAUUUCAGUGAAGUCUUGAAGACCUCGUCUGUUGUGAUAGGUGUACACGCAUGAGAAAAAAAGUGGUCUUUACCCCAGCUGCCCUGCAGCCAGUUCACUCCUUGUGACAUUAAUGCUUCUGUUUAUAUGAAGUAAACAAGAUGUAAUGAAUUAAAGGUUUCAUAAACUUAUGUGGGAAACCAGACAGGACAGCUAUGGAACCUUUGUGAAAAUCUGGCCAAGUUCAAAGAGCCUGCAAUAGAAGAGUUUGUUACAACCUAGGACGUGUCCUUCUGGGAAGGGAGAGAAGCAGAUGCAUCACCAUUUUGAAGUGGCUGUCUUUAUCCCUGGAAAAGCUUAUUUUAUAACCCAUGGCUCUGAAGCCUGGAGUGGCAAAGAAAUGACCGCAAAGUUUGUUUAUGAACCUUGUGCUUCUGGCACUCCAGCAAAGUGGAGUCUUAAAAGUCCGACAGGCCAGAGAUAAUUUUCAGUAAAAAACUUGCAUUGUUUUUGGAUUGCACUCACUCCCUUCUAUUUGUUUUUCAUGUCUACUCCUCUGAUCAUUCUCAUGUUUCUCUAUUUGCAAAGCUGAACAACAAAAGAAAAAAAAACAACACACAACUGUUUGCCACACUAGGAAGUAACAGAUUAGAAAUACAAAAAUUAAAAAUGGCUGCAUUGUUUGUAUUUCCUCUUAAUUAAAAUGUGAUG
Molecule: non-coding RNA, 4077 nt
Organism: Anas platyrhynchos (mallard)
Lineage: Eukaryota; Metazoa; Chordata; Aves; Anseriformes; Anatidae
Source: RefSeq, a predicted model, not a curated record